CGACGUUUCGCGAGUUACCUGGCAACACUACCAACUGAACGAAACAACCUCCAUUCAAACCAGUAAAAACCUGUUUGUCACUUUAUGGCGUGUUGAAUUUAAUUAUGUAAAUUAAUAUUCGAAUCAGUGCUCAUCAAGGGGAGCUGAGUCACCAAAGAAAGCUAAGUGGUGUUUUAUAUCUCUAUGAUAAAAGAGGAGUUAUUUUCCCAAAACGUUCUCGUACAUUUAACCUAAAACUAACUUUUCAUAAUUGAAUAUUAUUGCUAUGCAUUAUUACAAAGUUUACGAUGAUGGUGUUUCCGUUAUGGAUGAUAUAUUGAAAUGAGUGUGGCAGAGAGUUGUUACACGUUUAUGCAUAUAAAGAUCAUGUAGUUAACAUGAUUGCAUCACAAAAUGGCGCAUGUUGAAUGCGGGAAAGAGCCAACGUGGCUGUAAGUCAGCGCGGCCCCAACGAGUUUGGGACCAGGCAUCGGGUAGCCCUGAUGCUGGUAUGACCGCCACCGGGGGCUGGGGUGCGGUCCAGCCUUAGUAAUUGUGCUAUCUAUUUAAUAUGAGGAAAGUUAUGAGUUUGGCUGGGGUUGGAGUCGCGCCCCAGGCCUUGGUAAACGCCAGUGAGUUUGUGAGACCUGGCCGCUGACACCUGAAGGCCAUGGGUUCACGCAUCCUCUGGGAGGACCCCCAAGAUGGUGAUCACUGUAAGGGCCCUCGGGCAUGUGUACAGACUAGCGCUACUCUGAGAGGGUUGACGAACCUUCAUACACAUUUUGGGUCUAAUAAUGAUAUUUGUCAAGCGUUGGCCACUAGUGUGGAGCGUUGUGACACCAUGUAAAUGUAUAGCUUUAAGUUUGUAUAUUGUGUCUAAGAAAAUGUAUGAUUUGAUAAAGAUGGAUUUGGUAAUGUGCCAGAUGAAAGAACUACCUGAUUUCCCUAUGGGUUCUUCAUGUGUUGGUUAAAUUCAUGUUUAUGAAAGUAAUUACUGAUGUGAUAAUGUGGUUACCACAGAGAGGUUCUGUGGUAUAUGAAAGAUAAAAGUGGCUUUGAUAAUGUGGUUACCACGGAGAGGUUCUGUGGUUUAUGAAACAUCUAUGAUUUACCAAAAGGUGGCUUUGAUAAUGUGUGUACUACAGAGGUGUUCUGUGGUUUAUGAAAUAUCUCUAAUAAUCUGUAAUGUGUUGAUCUAUGUGUGAUGUUAAUGUACUUGCCAUAGUUGUGUUUAUGAGUGGUGUUGAUACUUACAAUGUUUAUGAUGAUGUUGUACUGAUUUGAUCUGAUGUUGUAUAUGUGAUAUACCAUCUGCAUUUAUUCUCUAUAUUUGAGAAGUGUACUUUGUAAGAGAAUGGUUACAAAGCUUUCAUAUUGAGUUUGACUAUCAUAUGUGGAAUUUGUAUCCUGAAUAUGCUGAAUUGAGUUGAUAUAUCUCAAUGCAUUAGUUGAGAUAAUAGCAACUAUAAUGAAAGACAAAUGUUGUUAGAAAUUGACUUUGUUUACUGAUUUACUGCAUUAUUUGUGUAGUACUUUGGUAUGAAUAUUGAUGCACCAUAAUGGUGGCUGGAAAGUAUCUUUGAGAUACUUUACAUAUGUAUUUAAGUACUACAUUUAUGUAGUUCAAAGGGAACUAACAUGAUGAUGGUCAUGAUAAUGAUGAUGAUGAUAAAUAGUUGGAACUGUAAUAACUUCAAUAAGCAUCUUGGAAUUAAUGAUUUCAGUGAGAUUUGAGAACCUAUAAUGGAAAGAAUAUAACAUGAAAUUAACCUUGUAAUAAUACUUGCAUAGAACUAAAUGUGUGAUAUUAUAUAGAGAUAAUUUAGUGACUUUGUAAGUCAUAGUUACCCCUUUUUUAAUACAGAUCUUGAGAUGCCAGUCAUGCUGACCAGUGUGGAGGCAACGAGGACAGCGGUUAGAGAAAGGCUCUAACAGUCAUUCCAUACAUGCAGUGUAGCCACUGCUAACCAAAGAUCUUGAGAUGCCAGUCAUGCUGACCAGUGUGGAGGCAACGAGGACAGCGGUUAGAGAAAGGCUCUAACAGUCAUUCCAUACAUGCAGUGUAGCCACUGCUAACCAAAG
This is a long non-coding RNA of Leguminivora glycinivorella, 2064 nucleotides long. RefSeq lists it as uncharacterized. The transcript has 2 exons. Lineage: Eukaryota; Metazoa; Arthropoda; Insecta; Lepidoptera; Tortricidae. The record is from RefSeq and is a predicted model, not a curated record.